CCUACGGGAGGCAGCAGUAAGGAAUAUUGGACAAUGGGCGAAAGCCUGAUCCAGCCAUGCCGCGUGAAGGAUUAAGGUCCUCUGGAUUGUAAACUUCUUUUAUGUGGGACGAAAAAAGGGCAUUCUUGCUCACUUGACGGUACCAUUUGAAUAAGCACCGGCUAACUCCGUGCCAGCAGCCGCGGUAAUACGGAGGGUGCAAGCGUUAUCCGGAUUCACUGGGUUUAAAGGGUGCGUAGGCGGGUAGGUAAGUCAGUGGUGAAAUCUCGAAGCUUAACUUCGAAACUGCCAUUGAUACUAUCUAUCUUGAAUAUUGUGGAGGUUUGCGGAAUAUGUCAUGUAGCGGUGAAAUGCUUAGAUAUGACAUAGAACACCGAUUGCGAAGGCAGCAGGCUACACAUAUAUUGACGCUGAGGCACGAAAGCGUGGGGAUCAAACAGGAUUAGAUACCCUGGUAGUCCACGCCCUAAACGAUGAUUACUCGACAUACGCGAUACACUGUGUGUGUCUGNGNGAAGANAUAUAUCACNGAGUACGUCGCGAGAGAGACANANAGAUAGAGNGNGAGAGNGCGAGACGCACGAGGGAGAG
RNAcentral lists this ribosomal RNA (591 nucleotides) under uncultured bacterium. RNAcentral describes it as "bacterial SSU rRNA". The stretch from base 1 to 530 matches the Rfam family "Bacterial small subunit ribosomal RNA", at positions 338 to 873 of the family's 1533-position model. The record is from RNAcentral.